RNAcentral lists this ribosomal RNA (237 nucleotides) under uncultured bacterium. RNAcentral's name for it is "partial 16S ribosomal RNA". It matches the Rfam family "Bacterial small subunit ribosomal RNA", at positions 8 to 236 of the family's 1533-position model. The record is from RNAcentral.
AGAGUUUGAUCCUGGCUCAGGAUAAACGCUGGCGGCGCACAUAAGACAUGCAAGUCGAACGAACUUAACCAUUAGUUUACUAUUGGAGCGGUUAGUGGCGGACUGGUGAGUAACACGUAAGCAACCUGCCUAUCAGAGGGGAACAGCAGUUAGAAAUGACUGCUAAUACCGCAUAUGCCUUAGAAUCACAUGGUUCGAAAGGGAAAGGAGCAAUCCGCUGAUAGAUGGGCUUGGCGU